RNAcentral lists this ribosomal RNA (763 nucleotides) under uncultured Streptococcus sp. RNAcentral's name for it is "bacterial SSU rRNA". It matches the Rfam family "Bacterial small subunit ribosomal RNA", at positions 28 to 776 of the family's 1533-position model. Lineage: Bacteria; Bacillati; Bacillota; Bacilli; Lactobacillales; Streptococcaceae. The record is from RNAcentral.
GACGAACGCUGGCGGCGUGCCUAAUACAUGCAAGUAGAACGCUGAAGGAGGAGCUUGCUUCUCUGGAUGAGUUGCGAACGGGUGAGUAACGCGUAGGUAACCUGCCUGGUAGCGGGGGAUAACUAUUGGAAACGAUAGCUAAUACCGCAUAACAGUAGAUAUCGCAUGAUAGCUACUUGAAAGGUGCAAUUGCACCACUACCAGAUGGACCUGCGUUGUAUUAGCUAGUUGGUGAGGUAACGGCUCACCAAGGCAACGAUACAUAGCCGACCUGAGAGGGUGAUCGGCCACACUGGGACUGAGACACGGCCCAGACUCCUACGGGAGGCAGCAGUAGGGAAUCUUCGGCAAUGGACGGAAGUCUGACCGAGCAACGCCGCGUGAGUGAAGAAGGUUUUCGGAUCGUAAAGCUCUGUUGUAAGAGAAGAACGAGUGUGAGAGUGGAAAGUUCACACUGUGACGGUAUCUUACCAGAAAGGGACGGCUAACUACGUGCCAGCAGCCGCGGUAAUACGUAGGUCCCGAGCGUUGUCCGGAUUUAUUGGGCGUAAAGCGAGCGCAGACGGUUAGAUAAGUCUGAAGUUAAAGGCUGUGGCUUAACCAUAGUACGCUUUGGAAACUGUUUAACUUGAGUGCAAGAGGGGAGAGUGGAAUUCCAUGUGUAGCGGUGAAAUGCGUAGAUAUAUGGAGGAACACCGGUGGCGAAAGCGGCUCUCUGGCUUGUAACUGACGCUGAGGCUCGAAAGCGUGGGGAGCAAACAGG